RNAcentral lists this non-coding RNA (29 nucleotides) under Homo sapiens (human). The record is from RNAcentral. Lineage: Eukaryota; Metazoa; Chordata; Mammalia; Primates; Hominidae.
UGCCACUCACCAGUCUGACACGUGUGCCC